GUUGAAACAUCGGUUCUCGUAGGAUCACUGAAGUUAAGCAACGUCGAUCUUGGUCUGUACCUAAGAUGGGUGACCGCUUAGGAAUACCAGGUAUUGUAAG
Non-coding RNA from Acanthosepion pharaonis, 100 nucleotides. The record is from the annotation of a GenBank genome assembly. NCBI's taxonomy places the organism in Eukaryota, Metazoa, Mollusca, Cephalopoda, Sepiida, Sepiidae.